ACGAACGCUGGCCGCAUGCCUAACACAUGCAAGUCGAACGAGACCUUCGGGUCUAGUGGCGCACGGGUGCGUAACGCGUGGGAACCUGCCCUUAGGUUCGGAAUAACUCCCCGAAAGGGGUGCUAAUACCGGAUAAUGUCUUCGGACCAAAGAUUUAUCGCCUUUGGAUGGGCCCGCGUUGGAUUAGCUAGUUGGUAGGGUAAAAGCCUACCAAGGCGACGAUCCAUAGCUGGUCUGAGAGGAUGAUCAGCCACACUGGGACUGAGACACGGCCCAGACUCCUACGGGAGGCAGCAGUGGGGAAUAUUGGACAAUGGGCGAAAGCCUGAUCCAGCAAUGCCGCGUGAGUGAUGAAGGCCUUAGGGUUGUAAAGCUCUUUUACCCGGGAUGAUAAUGACAGUACCGGGAGAAUAAGCUCCGGCUAACUCCGUG
Molecule: ribosomal RNA, 432 nt
Filed under: uncultured bacterium
Lineage: Bacteria
Description: partial 16S ribosomal RNA
Rfam family: Bacterial small subunit ribosomal RNA
Source: RNAcentral